UGUGUGUGGAGGUUAAAAAUCUUUCCUUUCAGCAUCUGGUCUUUUAAGUCUGAUUUGCUGUCUAAGUAACUGCACCGGAAAUUUCUAAUGGAGCCGCGCAGUGGGUGAGUCAGCCUGUAAUUGUUCUUUCUGUUUUUGUUUGCACUCUGAAGAGCAUGUGGACUUUCCGGCUUGUCACCCACUCUCUUUAAAUCUACCAGCCCUGCACUUUUCAGGGUUGCCACCUACACAGUUCUGAAGGCAUGCUCAGGGUGCCAAUCAAGUGUCACCAAAGCAGAGCAAAAAGCCUGCCUGAACCAUCAUGAGGAGUGUUGUGUUUAAGCCCGAAGCACGGCACUCCUCACUUGGCAUUAAUACUUAAAUCUAAGCUGAGGGUUUUUGUUCCAGAAGAGACAGCCUCUCUGCUGUUGGCAUGAGGUUAGUGCAGCGUUUGUAUGGGGGUGCAAAAUCAUAGCCAUAAACCGUGGAUGAAGCAGCAUAGGGGAAAGUUCUUAGCAUCAGCAGGUUGGUAAAGUAAGUCAGCAACUGAUAUUAGAGAGAGCUUACUGCAUCCUCAGAACUGCUCACUGAGAACUGAGUAGUUUGGGGGUGGGCAACUCAUGUUCAAGCCUUUGAGCACCGUGACCUUGGGCAAGUCAUUAUAUUUUCUCUGAGCCUCUCUUUUUGUAAAAUGUGAAUAUGCUGGAUUGAUUGCAAAAAUGUCCCCACUUUCCAUCCCUUCCUUGUAUCCUUUCCAUUGCAACUCUUCAGCUCCGUAAGAGGCAGAACCUAACUCCCCACCCCUCAAAAUGGAAUGCUUCAUGGCUCACUUUGUCUAACAGGAUGCAUAGUUCUGCCUGGCUUCCUGAGCCUGGUGCCCUUUGCCGGCUCUCACUCCUUGGUCCCUGCCUGCAAACAAGUCUGGGCUGGCCUGCUGGGAGAGGAGGCAAUGUGUGGAGGACAACAGAGGUGUCCCAGCUGACAGUGGGCCACAUUGCCAAAGCAUACCCUCUCGCUGACCCCUGGCUUCCCAGACAGGAGCAACAUGAGGGAACACAGCCCAAACCACAGUAACUGCCUGGCUGCUUUCAGCCGAAAUUGCUGAUCAGCUGAAUCACGAGCCAAAUAAGUGGCUGUUUGAAGCUAGCAAAUUUGGGGAUGCUCUUCUUUGCAACCUUAGCUGUUACAGGGGUGCUGACUCUCGCUGGGUCUCAGAAUGUGGCAGAGAGCAAAUGAGGCCAUGUGCGUCAGAAGCUUUGUGAAUCCUAAGUAGUACACAAAUAUAAGCUGUCCAUCAAUUGCAUAUGUUUCUAUCAGUAUUGAGACCAAGCGGAGGAUGCAAAUCAAUAUAAACAGCCCCUCACCUCCUCACCUCAAUACAUGCAGGAACUCACUUCUGUCUUCCUGUUAUCUCAUCCAUGUGUGAUUCUCUCCAGCUUCACAGGGUCAUCACCCGUGCACCCACCCCAUGUUUACUGGCCACCUGCAGCAUGCUGGGAACAGUUUUUGACACUGGGGAUGUUAAGGUAGGUGGGGUAGAGAGGCAAAUCCAUAAAUGAUUAAAACAGUGAAAAACAGCUGAUGCGAAAAGGCGAUGCAGAAGACAAGUGCUAUGGGCAGAAUGUUCGCUGCCCCCCUCCUCAUAUGCCAAAGCCCUACCUCUGGUGUGACUGCAUUUAGAGAUGAGCACACAGUGAGAAGGCGGCCGUCUGUGAGUCAGGAAGAGAGCCCUCGCUAGAACCAACCCCACCAGAACCUUGGUCUUAGACUCCAGCUCCAGCAUUUUGCUGUGGCAGCCCGAGUCAACUGAGACCGUCAGUGUAGGGAGAGGCAAAGGAGUCAUCGGGUGGCUUCUUUAGGGCAGGUGGUCAGGUGACUAUGAAGUAAGGAGCAAUGAAGGGAAGAAGCCAAAUAGAAUCCACCGGAAGAAUGUUCCAGAAAGAGGGACUGGCAGGACAAAGGCCCGGUGGCAAGCCCAGCUGGGGUGCACUCCGAAGGCCAGGGAAAGCGGUGGAUUUGAUUCUCCAGGUAACAGGAGCCCACAGGAGCACCUAAGGGAGGAGUGCCAGGGUGGAAUUUAUGUUAGGCCCUUCUGGCUGCUGAGUGGAGCCAGAGAGAAAGCCUAGGUGCCAUUUCGGAGGCUGCCACCUCCAUUGUCCUUGGGAGAGACAUAGUUGUGGUUUUAAGAUGGAGAAAAGCAGGUCAAUUUGGGAUAGGUUUGAAGGUGGCUGCAGCAGGUUCUGUUGAGGCAUAUUUAGGGAUGUAAGAGGAAGAGAGGAAUUGAGGCUGGCACCUGUUUUUGUGAUGUAUACCUAAGGCCAACAGAAUACAUGGGGCUUUUGUGGUCCCUAACCAUGGGCUUUUUAACACCUGGAGGAUGGUAACGCCAAAAGUUGGGAGCUGCUGAGCUCUUUGGGGUCCCGCUACUCUGUCAUUGACUGGUGGAGCAGGUAGUGUUUCUUACCACUUAUUUUUACUGCCAGGGAUGGUGCCACAUCCUACUAAAUCACUGCCUUUAAUUCAUGGAUAUUUCCAUGAAAGUGAAGUGAAGACGUUUAUAUGGGCAUUGAUGAUCCGUUGCUGUGCAAAAAGUCACUCCUAAACAGUUUCUAUGGUUUAGGAAUUUGGGAUCAGCUUGGCUGGGUGCUUCUGUCUCAGGAUCUGGCUCAUGCAAUUGCCGUUGGAUGUCAGCUGGGGAUGUUGCUCAUCUGCAGAUUCAUGUGGGGCUGAGGAUCCACUUUCAGUGUGAUUUGCUAUGUGGCUGGCACGUUGGUGCUGACUGCUGCAUGAAGGCCCUGGCUCCUCUCCUUGUGAACCUGUCCACAGAGCUAGUUGAAAGUCCUUAUGAUGUGGCAGCUGGACUCCACAGGGCGCGUCUCGAGAGACGUUUGUCAGGGCCCUGGAUCAUUUAGACUCACUUCAGGCACGGUGGGGUCCUCGGCCCUGAGGAGCUACACGUUCCUGUCCCUGCAUGGAGGCAGCAGGUGUGACCUACGCAGCUACCGUGCAGUGAAGGUACAGACGAAGAAAGGCAGCGGAGUUCCUUCAUUGUGACCACUUGGAAUCUGCAUUUGUGUUUAGUGACAAGGUUAGAACUGCGAGGUGCACUGUUUUAUUUGGUAAGUUUGGAUUUUAGUUCAUGCAUAUUUAUUUCAUGUCAUAAUUAUGACUGACAAUAAUUUUGUCUUAUGGAAGAGAGGAGUGUUGGCAAUUUUCUGUUCAGGUGUCAGAUAUGCCAGGUCUGUCUACUACAUCACACUAUAACUGGGGCAGAAAUUCAGGCCCUUUUUGGGUUUUGUUUUUGCAUACAGUUGUCCUAUACCUGAAAAGCAGGUGAUAUAUUACACAUACUCUUAGGUUCUCUCUUGCCAAGAUGUAGGUGUCCCUUGUGUGUUGUUACACCCUCACAGCAUAUACAUUAUGGAAAGUGUACAUCCCGGUCAAGCCCACAGGAAAGGCAUUAACCCACUGACACUUCUGAAAUCUUCUGUCCCUGUGGUUCUAGAAAUACAAGAAUGACUGCUUGAGAAUCUCUAGCCUGGCAUCUCCAAGCCCCUGGGGGAUCCUCUGUGCUGGAGACCACAGUCCUUCACAGGACACUCCUUGAUGGCCAGCACCCACACCCACUUCCUGCUGGAGCAAGGCUGCUGAAGUCUCUAGCUGAGCCCUCCCCAGGGCCUGCCCUCAGCUAGGGUCUACCCCGUCUUUGAGCUGCCUCCAUCCAAUGGCUGGUUUAGGAGGUGGUGCACGAAGGUCUAGCCUGGUGCAUUAGGACAAGCCUGAAGUGCCCCCAGCUGAGCCUUUCCUUGGGCCUCCACAGUUCAAAUUAUCCUGCUGUCCAGUCUUGCCUCUUUACUCCCUGUGGGGAUUGACCCUGGGGGCACCCCUAGUCUACUGCCUAUGUACAAGUCAGGAGCUGUUCCUGGGAACUCUGUUAUGACACAUUCCUCCUUCCUAAACCCACACCUUAUAUGGAUUUGGCUUUCUGGCCAGUGCCUUCUUCCCCAAAUGCACCUGUAGGUCCCCGUCUGGGUCCCUGUAGCAGUCAUUGCUGUGCAUUAAAUCUGUCCUUCUGGGCUUGUGGGAGGCUUUUGUUCCUGGCCCCUGUGUAUAAAAAUCUGGGGACACAUAUGACACGUGUCAGUUCCAAGCGGACUGUUGGUUACAGCAGCAUCAUACUGAACAAUCUGACUGAUACAGCUCCUUGGGGUUAGAACCUCCUUCCCUGCAUUUUCUGGCCAUUUUUACCUCCAAGUUCUGGACAAAAUGCAGCCAUCUCUGUAGACCUCUGAAUCCAGCAGGGAUCCCAUGUUCAUCUUUGUUCCCUUCAAGUCCGUCUUCCCCAGGAGACUGACAAUGCCUUCAGGACAGGAAGUGCAUCUUAAUGACCCUCCAUCCCUCACAAGGCCUUGGUCUGAAUAUAGAGGUAAUGCUCACUGAGAGGACAGGGGGCUCAUCAGGACCUGAGCAAGGUGCCCAGGAUAUAUGAUGAACAGGCACAUGUGAUGUCAGUUUGUCAAUAGGAGAGCAAUUCCUGAUAUGGGUGCUAAACAUCACAUGUCACGUUCCUUUCAUCAGCCAUAGAGCAAAUCCCUGGACUCUCACUCAGCCGCUGAACACCCCACAUUCUUAGACAAAAGAAUGAUUUAAGUGAGUCUGCAGUAUUCUGUAACAUAUUGUUCUCGCACCAUAUGCUUAAUAAUGAUAUCGGGUGUUUACUCCCAGUUACUUCUGCAGGCUCGUGUAUUGAGCAAACAUCAGUAUCCUGGGGCCCAAAUACUGCUGAAAGCAACUGAAAAUAUGACAGUGAGUACCGUCAAUAUCAGCCCUAAUCAACUUCCAGUUGUAUCCAGAAUACCAAUACUAUCAUUUCAGCAGCUCUGCGUGGGUCUCAAAGGGCAGGUCUGCUAUCCCUGCCUUCUGCAGAGGCUCAGAGAGGCUGACCGCCUGCAGAGGAACCACAACUGGAAUGGGGCACCCGCUGGGGGAUCCUCACAGAGCAGCAUCCUCCUGCGGGGUAACAGCCCUCUCCUGCCGCUCUUCUGCCUCUGCUAUUACUGGUUGUCUGACACACUUGACUUUCCUCUGUAAUAUUUCGAGGAGGACCCUGAGGGUUUCCCUCUUCAUUCUGUUCCUGAAUUGUUUCCCCCCAAUUAUUUCAGAUUAUGUAUUUGCUUUUAAUUAUCUUUAUAUCGAUUGUUUAUCCUAAAACUCUGUUAUAUCCAUUUAUUUUAGCCUUGGUAUUUUGAUAACACCGUUUAAGCCUCAGCUGUCUGGCCAAUUAAAUGAGAUGAGUCACAUCAAACAAGCAAAUGCUGAUUUGUAGGUCUGCCUUCUCACCGACCUGCGGUGGGGCGAGAAGAGGAUUCCUGAUCCACAUAGGAGUGCAUAAGCAGUCUGCCACCCAGGCAGCUUCUGUGACUUCACGAUCAAAGACGUUUCUGAGACUGAUGAUGCUUCCUUGACCUCAACAUCCUCCUUCACAGUACCUACUUCAGGGGUGACUACUGCUGAGUACAGGAGCUGGGGUCUGGGGGAGAUCCCACAGGCAAAGAAGAGAGACAAGCGCAGUCCCAUGAGACUCAGAAUGCUUACCCCACAGCCAAUCCACACCAGUUCUGGUUUGGAAAUCGAUGCAUCUGUACCCUGAGUUGCAUUGGAUCCUGGAGGACCAGAGCUCUGCAUGAUUUCUGCUCUCCAGCCAGUGUACUGAACUUGUAAUACUAAAAAUGGCAUUCUCUAAACUCCCUUGCAGUUAGAUUCUGGGCCUGACUUUAUUUCAUUUUGCCUAGGUGCAUGUGUUUUCCACUUACAAGACAGAAGGUAGUGGGGCUGCGUUUCGCUGUGUCUGCUGUUUCCAUUGUGAAGCACAGGGGAGAGGUCCUGGUUUUCUGCAGCUGUUUUAGCAAGAGGUCCCGAUUUCUGGGCAGUGGCUCUGUGAGUGUCAAGAGCAGGGCUUGGAGCAGCCAUUUUGCUGGUGAGCAAGUAGCAGACCCCGCCACUUCUGGGGCCUCUUUUUGAUUCCUAGCUUCUAAGGCAAGGUAUUCCUGAAGCACUUGGUUGUGGCUGGUUUUCCAAUUUCUUAGUCCUAAUAAAGGUGGGUGAUCUGAGAGCCAGAGGAGGCCCAGCAUCCUUUCUCCCCACCCCAUUAUCCAACUUCCUGCUCAGGGCAGCUGUAGGACAUGGUGGGUGGAGUCACCUGGCACAUCCACUGAGCUGCCUAGAGUAGCUCUAUGCACAAUGGAAUGUGAGAUUCACUUGGGGCAGUGGCAAAACAUUAUAGAAAAUAUUAGCAGAAGUUUAGAUUAUAAUCUCAAACCUUUUGGAAGGCCAAAAGGUUUUAUUGGGGCAGGCCAAAGCUGUCGGGUACAUCACUAGGGAAGAGACAGGGUUGAUAAGAAGCUUUCCCAGUUUAAGCCUGCUUACCCCACAUCCCUUUGUCUCUACUCUGUUUAAUCAUGUAAACUUUGUGCUGGAUGGCCCUCUCAGGGGGAGAUCAAAAGGGAAUUACCUGUUAAUAGUGUUUACUCUGGGCCCAGAACCUAAAGCUUUUAUCAUUGAUAAAACCACUCUGUUAAUCGUGUUAAUUAUCCACAAGUGUGUUGACUUAGAACCUCUGUUAUGAAUAAAUGCGUGGAUGGACAGAGAGUCUUGGUCAAUUGGUUGCAUUUCACCCUCUGAAAGCAGCCAAAAGCCAUCCCUAGCCCACUUGUAUCACUGUAACGGUGUGAGAGUGCGUUUAUUCAUCUGUCGUUGAGUCACGAUCUGCAGGCCAGACUUCUGCAGGUGGCGGGCGACGUCUCAAUGGAACACAUCUUGAGUGAAUAAAUGAUGCAUUCAUCUGGAAGACUCUUCAAAAGAGGUGCAUAUCUCAUGAGUUGGUAAGUCUCUAUGCACAGCAAGUCACAAUAAAUUGGAAGCACUAGUCUUGGGAAUGUUCUUUAUUAUUAAUAAUAGGAAUACCUUCAUUGGCUUUUAAAAAACUUUUGGAAGGUGAAUAUUAGGUGGAAUCAGAUUUGCUGUCUUGUCCCUGAAAUUUGGCCUUUCUUUCUCCUUUCUCUCCCCCAUAUUAGAUUAUUUUCUAACUAGAGCACAAGGACAGUCCAUGGAUCUAAUUACUUGAACAUAUUUCCUUUCAUUAAAGGGAUUUGCUUUAAAUCCUAAACAAGUUUGACAUUCAGCCUCUGUACUUUAAAUAACAAGUGAUUUUCUGUGUUCUCCAAGGUUACUACAAUAAACAUGUUAUUUGUAGGUUUUAAGUGUAAAAGGUUAACGUAAUCUCUAUGCACCCCUUGCUUCCCAAGAAGGAAAUAUUUUUGCAUACACAAUUAUACACAAAUUUACAAAGCAUAGUCUUUGUUUUACUUUAUCUUUACACAAAAUAAAGUAAAACAAAGCUUACUAUUUAGAAAGCUUACUAUUCUGUACCUUUUAGUACAUCUUGAACAUCUUUGCUUAGCAGGACAGACAAUGAAAAGCCAUCAGAAAAGCAAGGGUAUAUUGAGCAUUUCUCAUGCGCUGUGUGUUAAACUAAGACCUUUAAGUGGAUUGACAUCUUUGAUCUACAUAGCAGAUAGGAAAUUGGCACUUUCAAUAUCAAGCCUGCUCUCUUGGAGAAGGUCAUGCAUGUAAACCCACCUGGCCCCUCUUCCUCACACUUUCUUCCCUACUUUCUGGAGAGAGACUGUUUUCAGGGCUUUCUUUUGGCUUUAAGAAUAUUGCCCACAAUGACUAAUAGUAAGCCCUCUCUUUUCCAAAACUUGUGUUUCCUAUGCUGUGAUCCUGUUUUACCACGCUGGUUAGCAGUUCCUGAAUGACGUAGUGAACCUGAGCAUCUUUGCCUUGUUCCUGCGAGGCCUGGACCAGCUGCCCCAGAUGAAACCCAGCCUCAGGGCGAGGCUGCCUAACAAGCUCCCAACUCCAAGGAAGCCACAGCUGGAGUUGUCAUUGAUGUUGCCGUUGGCCCAGGGGUGAGUUGGUACCACCUAACAUCCCCUCACGAGGAGACCCAGCCUCCUGCAUGAGAGUGGAGGAUUCCUGGGUGAUGGUAUCUCCCUGAACAUAGAUGGGACCUGGCAGUGAGGACCACAGUGCCUGACCCCUGUGAGCCAAUGCUUCCAGAACCUGAGACUUCAAGUCAUUGCCCACUGGGGGAUGGACUGAAGCACAUCUCAAAAUUCAACCAGAUUUCCAGCUGGAGGCUGGGGAAUCUAGAAACAUUAACUGCCUCCCCCAUUAAACAGAUGCAUUUAUUUUUGUAUUUAUUGAAUUAAUUUACAAAAUGCUGCUCUCUUGAGGGAAGCAUUCCCUGGAGCUUGCAAAUACCAACAGGUACCAUGUAGUUAAUAUGCAUUCAACAGAAGCAGUCAUGUCAGGGUUAUAUUAACACCAACGAAAGAAUACAAACAUCCAGACUUCUGAAUUCUCUAACCACGAAGAUCUCUGUGAUUUACUGUCUUUUAGGGCUCAAUCUAGAUAGGGAAAUUUCUGUCAGAAGUUUCUGUGCAGCACAUUCCUGUACUUCCUUGAAUGGUUUUACGUAUUUCUGAGGUUUCUGGCGUCAGUCCUUAGGGCCGACUGCUACCACCUUGAAUCCAAGAGGACUGUUUUGGAGGAGAGGAUGGGGGACCUAGUUGCAUCUCCCUGGUAGUGGGACAAGCUAGUCUAAUGUGUUUUUUCACAGUCUUCUAGAUGGGAGAAGCACCUGUGAAGCCCAGCAUCCAGGUGUUUCUGAAAUUGCUCCCUGUGAAUGAGGGCAUCUGCCCGCCUCCACUGUCCCAAUCCUGCCUAUUCCCUCUCUCCUCUUCUGAUGAGAUCUUUCAGCAAAUCAAGGCCGGGGCUUGACAAGCAACUUCCCAAUCAUCACCAACUCUCUGUAUUUUAAGGUCUCCAUCCACACUGCCUGCCCUGAAAGGAAAAGAAGCUGAGCAGUUACCCAAUGAAUCUAGAACAACCUUUUACUCUGCUCCUGUGCUAUCUAGGUAAAACUGAUCAAACAGCACAUUUUCGGAGGCUAGGUUUGCUUCCUUUCUUCCUUUUUUGUUACUGAAAAAGUUUGGUGUGGUUUCUGUUUUGACUUACUUUUAAAUUUUUUAAAUUUUUGACACAUAAUAACUGUACAUACUUAUGGGGUACAAUGUAAUUUUUUUUUUGAGACAGGGUCUCACUCUGUCACCUAGGCUGGAAUGGUGGCACGAUUACGCUUGCUGUAGCCACUAAUUCCCAGGCUCAGGUCAUCUUCCCACCUCAGCCUCCUGAGUAGCUGGGAUUA
This is a long non-coding RNA of Sapajus apella (tufted capuchin), 9250 nucleotides long. RefSeq lists it as uncharacterized. The transcript has 3 exons. The record is from RefSeq and is a predicted model, not a curated record. NCBI's taxonomy places the organism in Eukaryota, Metazoa, Chordata, Mammalia, Primates, Cebidae.